RNAcentral lists this ribosomal RNA (467 nucleotides) under uncultured bacterium. Its description in RNAcentral is "partial 16S ribosomal RNA". It matches the Rfam family "Bacterial small subunit ribosomal RNA", at positions 28 to 506 of the family's 1533-position model. The record is from RNAcentral.
GACGAACGCUGGCGGCGUGCUUAACACAUGCAAGUCGAACGGAAAGGCCCUGCUUUUGUGGGGUGCUCGAGUGGCGAACGGGUGAGUAACACGUGAGUAACCUGCCCUUGACUUUGGGAUAACUUCAGGAAACUGGGGCUAAUACCGGAUAGGAGCUCCUGCUGCAUGGUGGGGGUUGGAAAGUUUCGGCGGUUGGGGAUGGACUCGCGGCUUAUCAGCUUGUUGGUGGGGUAGUGGCUUACCAAGGCUUUGACGGGUAGCCGGCCUGAGAGGGUGACCGGCCACAUUGGAACUGGGAUAGGCCCCGAACCCCUAGGGGAGGCAGGGGUGGGGAAUAUGGCAAAAGGGGCGGAAGCCUGAGGCAGCAACGCCGGGGGGGGGAGGAGGGCCUUCGGGUUGUAAACCGCUUUCGCCUGGGACGAAGCGUGGGUGACGGUAAUGGGUAAAGAAGCACCGGCAAACUCCGU